RNAcentral lists this ribosomal RNA (417 nucleotides) under Fusobacteriota bacterium. RNAcentral's name for it is "Fusobacteria bacterium partial 16S ribosomal RNA". It matches the Rfam family "Bacterial small subunit ribosomal RNA", at positions 355 to 776 of the family's 1533-position model. Lineage: Bacteria; Fusobacteriati; Fusobacteriota. The record is from RNAcentral.
UGGGGAAUAUUGCACAAUGGACGGAAGUCUGAUGCAGCGACGCCGCGUGGGGGAUGAAGGCUUUCGGGUUGUAAACUCCUUUUGAUGCUGAACAAGGCUCUUUUUAGGGUUGAGGGUAGGUGUUGAAUAAGCGCCGGCUAACUACGUGCCAGCAGCCGCGGUAAUACGUAGGGCGCGAGCGUUGUCCGGAAUUAAUGGGCGUAAAGGGCUCGUAGGCGGUUUGUCGCGUCUGCUGUGAAAGACCGGAGCUUAACUCCGGGGUUGCAGUGGGUACGGGCAGACUAGAGUGCGGUAGGGGUAGCUGGAAUUCCUGGUGUAGCGGUGGAAUGCGCAGAUAUCAGGAGGAACACCGAUGGCGAAGGCAGGUUACUGGGCCGUUACUGACGCUGAGGAGCGAAAGCAUGGGGAGCGAACAGG